UACGUAGGGGGCAAGCGUUGUCCGGAAUCAUUGGGCGUAAAGAGCGUGUAGGCGGCUCGGUAAGUCCGCUGUGAAAGUCCAGGGCUCAACCCUGGAAUGCCGGUGGAAACUGUCGAGCUCGAGUCCGGAAGAGGCGAGUGGAAUUCCUGGUGUAGAGGUGAAAUGCGCAGAUAUCAGGAGGAACACCAAUGGCGAAGGCAGCUCGCUGGGACGGUACUGACGCUGAGACGCGAAAGCGUGGGGAGCAAACAGG
This 253-nucleotide ribosomal RNA is filed under the name uncultured bacterium. Its description in RNAcentral is "partial 16S ribosomal RNA". It matches the Rfam family "Bacterial small subunit ribosomal RNA", at positions 524 to 776 of the family's 1533-position model. The record is from RNAcentral.